UUCAGCACAGGCGAAGAAGAUCAGCGACUACUUCAAGAAGCAAGCCUUCGACUUCUUGAAGGAUCACGCCUUGGACGUCAUCCCGAACGUCCUGUCAACUCCGGAAGGCCAGAAGCAGGGCACAAAAGCGGCCGACACCGCCGGCCUCUACGUCUUUAACCUCUCCGUCGGCACGUCGAUCCUGCAGAACAUUACCGGCAUCCUGGACAUCACCACUGAGCUCGUGUGGGCGCAGUGCGCGUGUAGCGCUGACGCCUGCUUGCCACCUCCGGGGACCACAUUCGACCCAAGUACGUCGGACACCUUCGCCGGGGUUCCCUGCAUCAGCCAGAGGUGCCAGAGCGUGAUCAAGCAGCAAUGUGACCCUGACCCCGCGGCGAACUGCACGUACCUUAUGCAAUACGACGACUACACCAACACGACCGGCUACCUCGGCAACGACACGUUCACGUUUGGUCAGACUCAGUUCCCCGACGUGGUGUUCGGCUGCAGCAAGGCGAGCUACGGUGAUUUCUUUGGCGCCUCCGGCGUCCUGGGCUUCAGCAGGGGGAGCCUAUCCCUGGUGUCCCAGCUCCAACUCUCCUGGUUCUCCUACCUCUUGGUUUCGGACGGACCCAGCCCCUUGCAGUUCGGCUAUGACGCCGUUCCGCAGACGGAGAACAGCCACUCAACUCCCCUUCUCAACAACGACGCAAACCCUGGCCUUUACUAUGUCAAGCUCACCGGCAUAAUGAUCGACGGCCGGCAGCUCAACGGCAUCCCAGCUGGAACCUUCGACAUCCAGUCGAACGGUUCCGGCGGGGUGUUCCUGAGCACGACCGUCCCGGUCACGUACCUCGACGAGGCCGCGUACAACGUUGUCAGGAAGGCAUUCGUCAGCCGGAUCACGGCGGAAGCUGUGGACGGCUCGGCGCUUGGUCUUGACCUGUGCUAC
Molecule: long non-coding RNA, 934 nt
Filed under: Setaria viridis
Lineage: Eukaryota; Viridiplantae; Streptophyta; Magnoliopsida; Poales; Poaceae
Description: long non-coding RNA (SVIR_LNC003871)
Source: RNAcentral